GCCCGGUUAGCUCAGAUGGUAGAGCAUCAGUCUUUUAAUCUGAGGGUCAUGGGUUCGAGCCCCAUAUCGGGCG
This is a non-coding RNA of Nematostella vectensis (starlet sea anemone), 73 nucleotides long. Lineage: Eukaryota; Metazoa; Cnidaria; Anthozoa; Actiniaria; Edwardsiidae. The record is from Rfam.